RNAcentral lists this ribosomal RNA (253 nucleotides) under uncultured bacterium. RNAcentral describes it as "partial 16S ribosomal RNA". It matches the Rfam family "Bacterial small subunit ribosomal RNA", at positions 524 to 776 of the family's 1533-position model. The record is from RNAcentral.
GACAGAGGGUGCGAACGUUGUUCGGAAUUACUGGGCGUAAAGCGCGUGUAGGCGGUCGUGCAAGUCGGGUGUGAAAGCCCUGGGCUCAACCCAGGAAGUGCAUUCGAUACUGCUCGACUGGAGUCCCGGAGAGGAUGGUGGAACUCUCGGUGUAGAGGUGAAAUUCGUAGAUAUCGAGAAGAACACCGGUGGCGAAGGCGGCCAUCUGGACGGUGACUGACGCUGAGACGCGAAAGCGUGGGGAGCAAACAGG